ACGUGGUCAAAGCUCAGGAAAAAACAAAGGGCAAAAUAAAAAUGAUGAAGAGAGAUGUCGUCUUCAAAGUUGGUGACAAAGUUUUAAGAGCUAACAUAAGAAGCCAGCAGAGGAAAGGGGGGGAAACUUGAAGCAAACUUUUUAGGCCCUUACAUUAUUACAGCAAUCCAAGGUAAAAGUGCAGAUCUUCAGGAUUCCAAUGGGACAAUCAUUCCAAAAGUAAAUAUUGACCAACUAAAGUUAAGCAAAGACAGCAUGCCAAGAGUGCCACACCGGGGUUUAAAGAAAACAGCAGCCACAUUACUAACAGCACAACCAGGUCCAGCAGCACCAGCAUCUGCUCUAGCUUCACAGGCUACAGCAGCACCAGUGGCGGUAGCACCACACCUCCUCCUAGAGCUACACGAGGCUACAGCACCAAUGGCAUCACUUACAUCACUACCAGUUCAAACACAACAUCCAUCUCCAGUUCCACAAGGUAUACCAAUAACGGUAUCAGAACCAGAGUCAGGAGCAAUAGCACAGAAAGUGAACGAACCACCAGAACCAGCCACAAGUGCUACAGCACCAGAACACGCUACAGCUCUACAAACAAUCCAAAACAGCAGCCGACCCAGCCUCAAAGACCAUAACAGCAGACCAGGCCUCACAGACCACAACAGCAGACCCACCACACAGCAGACCCAGCCUCACAAACCACAACAGCAGCAGACCCGGCCUCACAGACCACAGCUCCAAAUGCUACAACCACACAAGCCUCAGCUCCACAGAUUACAGCCCAGCAAUCUACAGCACAAACCAUAGAACCAACAGUUGCAGAGAAAUAUAUAAUGGAUGCCUGGGCUGGAAAGAGUCCUCACAUUCUACUCUCCAGAAUUGGUGCUUACAAAUUAUUCUACUGGGAUAUCCAACAAAUUGGUCCAGACAUGGAGUUGGAAAGUGAGUCUAUUAAUGCAUAUCUUGCGAUCAUGGUGAGACAAUGCAAUCGUCAUAAUUCAGCAAAAGCAGCAUUCAUUGAUUCAUUUUCAAUGACUGCCAUUUGGAAGAGAAAAGCUCCAAGACUCAAGAUCAAACCCAUGGAGCAUGAAGUCAUUCUGGGAAUUGUAAAUGAACAUCAUCACUGGACAUUAGUGGUCAUUUACCCACAAGAAAAGAAGUCACUGUAUCUUGAUCCACUUGGAGAAACUAAACAAGGUAUCCAAAAUUGUUUGGAAUCAACAAGGGCAUUCAUGCGAAAAAAAGGAUGCAACGUCUCAAGAUGGACUUUUGACACAGUCAAACACCCAAAACAAGUGGACGCUACCUCAUGUGGAGUCUUUGCAUUGAAAUUUGCUGAAAAGAUCUUGCGAAAAGAGUCAAUAGACUUUCCGUCUACAAAAAAGGCCAUAAACACACACAGGCUGCAAAUUGCCACCGCUCUUCUCCUAGAGACAGAUGACUUGACAAACAUCUGUCAUUUCUGCGGGGAAGAAGAGCAUGCAACUGACAACAAAUGGAUUCAGUGUGAGAUGUGUUUGCGGUGGUUCCACCAGCUCUGCGUGAAAAGCCCACCACCAGAAGAUGUGUUUAUUUGUCUCGCUUGUACAUAGUUGACACUAAAGGUCCACAGCUAGUGUUCUUAUGGCACACAUUGUCGAGAACACAUAUCUACAUAUAUAGAUGUAGAUGUUAAAUUAAGAAGUCUAAAAAAAACCAAAUGGUCUCCAAAGUUACUGUAGUUAUUAGUUAUACUGUUAUUUAUUUUGCAAAUAAACUCUUUCUGAUAGCAAAACCAAGGUGCAUUAUUGAUGGGGGGCACACAUUUUGGCAGCCGAUGCCACACAGCCUGAUAAAAUCUGUAUCCCUCCAUAACUUUUGCUGUGAAUAAGACAUCUUCUCCAAAGUUACUGUACUUAUUGGUUAUACUGAGAUUGAUUUUGCAAAUAAACUCAUUCGUGAUAGCUUCGCUACAAAGUGUAAACCGAGUGUAAAUUCACUGGAGAGCGACGUGUUUCCAUGAUCGCAUCUGGUUUUACAGUAUUAUAGUAUCAAAGUCUUUUUCUAGACAAAGUACUCCCAGCAGGUUAUUUCAGUGUACAGUAUAAGGUAAACUGUCUUCCACACGGCACAUUACAAUGUCACGAAACUAAUAUUAAAUUCAUCGAGUCUGCUGUUUUCCAGGUUUUACUCUUUAUCGCGUCGACUGCAGAUCAGUGACAAGUAGCGUACAGAACGGAGCUGGGCAAGUGGCUCCUC
This is a long non-coding RNA of Haplochromis burtoni (Burton's mouthbrooder), 2235 nucleotides long. RefSeq annotates it as sentrin-specific protease 2. The record is from RefSeq and is a predicted model, not a curated record. Lineage: Eukaryota; Metazoa; Chordata; Actinopteri; Cichliformes; Cichlidae. The transcript is spliced from 9 exons.